RNAcentral lists this RNase P RNA (310 nucleotides) under Candidatus Woesearchaeota archaeon. RNAcentral describes it as "RNase P RNA component". It matches the Rfam family "Archaeal RNase P". From Rfam's summary of the family: Ribonuclease P (RNase P) is a ubiquitous endoribonuclease, found in archaea, bacteria and eukarya as well as chloroplasts and mitochondria. Its best characterised activity is the generation of mature 5'-ends of tRNAs by cleaving the 5'-leader elements of precursor-tRNAs. Lineage: Archaea; Nanobdellati; Candidatus Woesearchaeota. The record is from RNAcentral.
UGUAGGGCAAGUGCUUAACACCAGGCAUAUUAUGCUUAGGAAAGUCCACCCACCAGCUCAUUAUGAGCAACAUAACCGCUGCUGAGAGGCAGGUGCUGAAAAGUGCGCUCCAGCGAAGAAACAACACGGCCUUUAAUCAAGGAUGAAAUGGCGAAUCAACCAGCAAUGGUUGAGAGUUAACCUAUGGAUGUCGGUUAAAGGAUACGGUGAGACAGCUGCCCGGUUGGUGCAAGCCUUUGGCGCUUAGUCGAAUGUUAAGGCAAACCUUCCGUAAGGGGUUUGACAGAAGGUGGCUUAUCUUUGCCCUACA